This is a long non-coding RNA of Notothenia coriiceps (black rockcod), 278 nucleotides long. RefSeq lists it as uncharacterized. The transcript has 3 exons. NCBI's taxonomy places the organism in Eukaryota, Metazoa, Chordata, Actinopteri, Perciformes, Nototheniidae. The record is from RefSeq and is a predicted model, not a curated record.
CGCUCACAGAGAUCUGAGGGUGGCUCAGGGAGAGGGGGGGGGAGGAGGAAGUGUCAACUCACGCUCGCUGAAGAACAUCCCCCGCCGGCCCUCCCUCUUCAAGAACCGGGACUCAGAUAAGAAGUCUGGUGAUGGUAAAGGAGAUCAGAGCAACACGAGAGGCGUCCCUAUCAAACAGAGCAUCCUGUGGAAGAGAAGCGGCAGCUCUCUGAAUAAGGAGUGGAAGAAGAAAUACGUCACGCUGUCCAACAACGGCCCGCUGUCCUACCACUCCAGCU